Molecule: ribosomal RNA, 331 nt
Filed under: Potamites erythrocularis
Lineage: Eukaryota; Metazoa; Chordata; Lepidosauria; Squamata; Gymnophthalmidae
Description: partial 12S ribosomal RNA
Rfam family: Bacterial small subunit ribosomal RNA
Source: RNAcentral
AUCCGCCAGAAGAUUACGAGCGAAAGCCUAAAACUCAAAAGACUUGACGGUAUCCCAACCUUCCUAGAGGAGCCUGUUCCAUAAUCGACAACCCACGAUACACCUAACCACCUUUAGAUAUUACAGCCUAUAUACCGCCGUCGCACAGCCUACCUUUUAAAAGAGUACAAGUAGGCUAGAUAGUAUUAUACUAACAAGUCAGGUCAAGGUGCAGCUCAUAAGGUGGUGGAAAUGGGCUACAUUAUUUAUAUUAAAUAAUACGAACUUAUAUCCCUGAAAAAGAAAAUGAAGGCGGAUUUAGCAGUAAUUUAAACAAGAAUAUUUAAAUUAA